GGGCGGUCUCCUCCUAAAGAGUAACGGAGGAGCACGAAGGUUGGCUAAUCCUGGUCGGACAUCAGGAGGUUAGUGCAAUGGCAUAAGCCAGCUUGACUGCGAGCGUGACGGCGCGAGCAGGUGCGAAAGCAGGUCAUAGUGAUCCGGUGGUUCUGAAUGGAAGGGCCAUCGCUCAACGGAUAAAAGGUACUCCGGGGAUAACAGGCUGAUACCGCCCAAGAGUUCAUAUCGACGGCGGUGUUUGGCACCUCGAUGUCGGCUCAUCACAUCCUGGGGCUGAAGUAGGUCCCAAGGGUAUGGCUGUUCGCCAUUUAAAGUGGUACGCGAGCUGGGUUUAGAACGUCGUGAGACAGUUCGGUCCCUAUCUGCCGUGGGCGCUGGAGAACUGAGGGGGGCUGCUCCUAGUACGAGAGGACCGGAGUGGACGCAUCACUGGUGUUCGGGUUGUCAUGCCAAUGGCACUGCCCGGUAGCUAAAUGCGGAAGAGAUAAGUGCUGAAAGCAUCUAAGCACGAAACUUGCCCCGAGAUGAGUUCUCCCUGACCCUUUAAGGGUCCUGAAGGAACGUUGAAGACGACGACGUUGAUAGGCCGGGUGUGUAAGCGCAGCGAUGCGUUGAGCUAACCGGUACUAAUGAACCGUGAGG
Molecule: ribosomal RNA, 645 nt
Filed under: Escherichia coli
Lineage: Bacteria; Pseudomonadati; Pseudomonadota; Gammaproteobacteria; Enterobacterales; Enterobacteriaceae
Also listed under: 1 other name
Description: partial 23S ribosomal RNA
Rfam family: Bacterial large subunit ribosomal RNA
Source: RNAcentral